GCCGCGGUAGCUCAGUGGUAGAGCAUUUCCCUGAAGAGGAAGUGGUCGUCGGUUCAAUUCCGACCCGCGGCA
This 72-nucleotide transfer RNA is filed under the name Minisyncoccota bacterium. Its description in RNAcentral is "tRNA-Phe". It matches the Rfam family "tRNA". From Rfam's summary of the family: Transfer RNA (tRNA) molecules are approximately 80 nucleotides in length. The record is from RNAcentral. Lineage: Bacteria; Bacillati; Minisyncoccota.